Molecule: long non-coding RNA, 390 nt
Filed under: Cyanistes caeruleus (blue tit)
Lineage: Eukaryota; Metazoa; Chordata; Aves; Passeriformes; Paridae
Description: lncRNA (ENSCCEG00000018557.1)
Source: RNAcentral
AUGAAACGCAUGCUGGGAUUUCCAGCUGGCUUCCCUCCCCCUCCUCCCCCGACUGCUGCAGACAGUGAUGGGGAGGAGAUAAGGAAUCAGUUCAAGAGCUCUUCCGGAGGAGCAUCUGCACAUGCUGUUAUAUGGGAGAUACUGAAAUUGCAUUGUUGUGGUUUUCACAAAGAGAGAAAUGCUUCAAAGCAGAAAGUUUAGCUGAAAUCAGAUCUUUCUGAACACUGAAAAGUGCCACUCUGCCCACGGUGUCAAAAUGCAACAUUUCCAGAAGAUUAAAACUGUGAUGAAAAUUCACUACCAGAACUUUUUUUUGUAUAUUCAGUCUUGCAUUGUGAGGAGGAGUGGGCUACGUAGUAAUCCUACAUAAUUUUUAAAAGUCUAUACUGG